GGUAUCGCGCGCUCUGCGCCGGCUUCGUUUUCGUUCAGUUCAGUCUCCGAAAACGGAUGAGACGGCCUUGAGUUGUGCGCUCCCCCGAGGAACGGAAAGCCUUCGACGCGCGGCUAUGACAACUCGCCCAUGAAAGGGUCACCGUCGGUGCGCCGAUCUCGUAUUUAGAGCCACGCGAUCCAAGGCAUUCCGACACCAACGAGAAGAAGAUCCUGAGCAGAGGGAGCGGGAGGCCGAAGCGAACUGGCACCUUUGCCACCAGGCACUGUCAAAGACACCACGGACCGCUGGAAACCCAGUCGAUAUCUAUAUGCUCAGGAGGAGGAGGAGUAGAUUUUAAUGAAGAGAAAAGAGGAGAAGUCGGCCUGGAGAGCGUGUCUCUAGCCUGCCACUCCUCACUGGGGAAAGGGGAAGUGGGAAGUACAGAGAAAGAUCGCAACGCGCACCUACUGUUCACGGCGAAGUGCUGAAGAAACAACUUGUCCGGUGCUGCUUCUGCGAGUGCGCUGAGUUCCUCCACUCUGCGUGACUGCGAGCGUCACGAACAUUACAUAGUGUGGGCAAAAGGUAGACAUCCUAUAUAGCUACGAUGCGACGAGGUGGUACCGACGAUGGAUCUCGCUACCAACACAGUGAAGGAGACUUCGACAAACUGCAGAUAAGUAUAUUUCUACUGUUUCAUAUUUAGCAUAAUAAGAGUGCACGGAUUAAGUCACUUUCGUAGUAACGAACUGAAUGUCCAGCAGUUUAAAGAAGGCAGUGAGAACCAAUGAGUGUUCGUGCUUUUACGUGCAAGUGGGCCCGCGAAAAUAUGGAAUAGAUGAAGGUAACCUUCACUAACUUGGUGAGGCAACAGAAAUUCAUGAGUGACAUUAAGCUAGAAAAUUUAUGGAAGAGUAUCUUUAUCCAAGUGAAAUAUCAAUAGCAAGUACUGAUAUAAAGCAGGAAACUUAUACAAAAAUUUCAUGGGUUGAACAGCACAUGGAAGGCAUUACCGAAUCGUGAUCGCCACGUUACCGAUAUCCUUGAAAAAAGUCUAGAAUCAUUGCAUUCCACCGGUUAUGCAAUAUGGGACAUAAACCUGGAGGUUAACAAAGAAACUUGAGAUGUCAAGGACUGUGUAGAAAGCGAAGUAACAAAAAUUGUUGCAGAUAGCAUUAAGGCAGGAAGACAGUGGCGUAGUAAACCGUGGCAACUGAUAUGCUAGUUGAGAUUAAAAAAGAAAGGAAUCGGCAGGCAGGCCAUGCACGUAUUCGAUCACUUGUUGCCAAUUCAUAUCAGGUGAUUACAUAAGCAUUACAGAAUGAAUGUCAAGGAGAGAGAACUACAGCCAACGAUGGUAGAAAAUUGCGUAAUGGGACAAGAAUAUGAUGUUUGUAGGCAUAGGAUGCAAUCAGCUCGUAUAAGACGGGAUUGUAGGGUGAGGCAUUUGUUUUGCAGCGAACAAAAAUAGGUUUGUGGUGCUGACAGUAGAGACUCGUGAAGGUGCAGGGCCACCUCAGCUGCUGGCACACUAAUCAACAUGACAAUUGGCUCUGAAAAAGAAAACCCCAGUUUUGAAAAAUAAAGCAAUGUUGUCCCAACGCAUUGUUUUACUAAGCAUACUACACUAGAGGCUUCCACAUUUAAGGGCACUUAGUACUAAUAGUGCAACGAGCAUUUUUCUUUGUAAAUAAUGGUUUGUAUGUGGCUGAUUCAUUCCAAUACACUUUUUUGCAGCAAAACAUUCUGCUGCUGGAGCCACUCAACCGCCUGGUGGCAGUAGGCGAGCGCCAGGCACGUGCUCUUGAGAGUGUGGCAAAGGUCCAGAGGGCUGCUCCGCAACAGUAGUAUCGGUGCCCUCACUGCUGUCCUGUCGAGCCCACAGAAGGCACCUUAUAAAGGAGCUUUCAGUUUAAUAUUUUGUUUAUUAUUCAAGAACAUGAAUAAAAUUAUUGCAGUAAA
Molecule: non-coding RNA, 1944 nt
Organism: Dermacentor albipictus
Lineage: Eukaryota; Metazoa; Arthropoda; Arachnida; Ixodida; Ixodidae
Source: RefSeq, a predicted model, not a curated record